CCUACGGGAGGCAGCAGUGAGGAAUAUUGGUCAAUGGGCGGGAGCCUGAACCAGCCAAGUCGCGUGAGGGAAGAAGGUACUGAGUAUUGUAAACCUCUUUUGCCAGGGGAAAAAGGCGGCCACGGGUGGCCGUAAGAGGGUCCCUGGAGAAAAAGCAUCGGCAAACUCCGUGCCAGCAGCCGCGGUAAUACGGAGGAUGCGAGCGUUAUCCGGAUUUAUUGGGGUUCAUGGGUGGCUAGGCGGCGUGUCAAGUCAGCGUUAAAAUGUCGGGGCUCAACCCCGGCCGGCCGUUGAAACCUGCGUGCUCGAGUUGGAGAGAAGUAUGCGGAAUUCGUGGUGUAGCGGUGAAAUGCAUAGAUAUCACGAAGAACCCCGAUUGCGAAGGCAGCAUACCGGCUCCACACUGACGCUGAGGCACGAAAGCGUGGGUAUCGAACAGGAUUAGAUACCCUGGUAGUC
Molecule: ribosomal RNA, 459 nt
Filed under: uncultured bacterium
Lineage: Bacteria
Description: partial 16S ribosomal RNA
Rfam family: Bacterial small subunit ribosomal RNA
Source: RNAcentral